UACGGAGGGUGCAAACGUUGCUCGGAAUCAUUGGGCGUAAAGCGCACGUAGGCGGUCCAGCAAGUCGGGUGUGAAAGCCCUCGGCUUAACCGAGGAAGUGCAUUCGAAACUACUGGACUUGAAUACUGGAGAGGAUCGCGGAAUUCCCGGUGUAGAGGUGAAAUUCGUAGAUACCGGGAGGAACACCAGUGGCGAAGGCGGCGAUCUGGACAGAUAUUGACGCUGAGGUGCGAAAGCGUGGGGAGCAAACAGG
Molecule: ribosomal RNA, 253 nt
Filed under: uncultured bacterium
Lineage: Bacteria
Description: partial 16S ribosomal RNA
Rfam family: Bacterial small subunit ribosomal RNA
Source: RNAcentral